GUGCUCGCUUUGGCAGCACAUAUACUACAAUUGGAACGAUACAGAGAAGAUUAGCAUGGCCUGUGAAGCAUUCCAUAUUUAAAAAAAAAAGAAGAAGAAAAUCUAU
Small nuclear RNA from Acomys russatus (golden spiny mouse), 106 nucleotides. NCBI's taxonomy places the organism in Eukaryota, Metazoa, Chordata, Mammalia, Rodentia, Muridae. The record is from RefSeq and is a predicted model, not a curated record.